RNAcentral lists this ribosomal RNA (468 nucleotides) under uncultured bacterium. RNAcentral's name for it is "partial 16S ribosomal RNA". It matches the Rfam family "Bacterial small subunit ribosomal RNA", at positions 28 to 507 of the family's 1533-position model. The record is from RNAcentral.
GACGAACGCUGGCGGCGUGCUUAACACAUGCAAGUCGAACGGAAAGGCCCUGCUUUUGUGGGGUGCUCGAGUGGCGAACGGGUGAGUAACACGUGAGUAACCUGCCCUUGACUUUGGGAUAACUUCAGGAAACUGGGGCUAAUACCGGAUAGGAGCUCCUGCUGCAUGGUGGGGGUUGGAAAGUUUCGGCGGUUGGGGAUGGACUCGCGGCUUAUCAGCUUGUUGGUGGGGUAGUGGCUUACCAAGGGUUUGACGGGUAGCCGGCCUGAGAGGGUGACCGGCCACAUUGGGACUGAGGUACGGCCCAGACUCCUACGGGAGGCAGCAGUGGGGAGUAUUGCACAAUGGGCGGAAGCCGGAUGCAGAAACGCCGCGGGCGGGAUGACGGCCUUCGGGUUGUAAACCGCUUUCGCCUGUGACGAAGCGUGAGUGACGGUAAUGGGUAAAGAAGCACCGGCUAACUACGUG